UCUACGGGCGGCAGCAGUGGGGAAUAUUGGACAAUGGGCGAAAGCCUGAUCCAGCCAUGCCGCGUGUGUGAAGAAGGCCUUCGGGUUGUAAAGCACUUUCAGUGGGGAAGAAAGCCUUGGGGCUAAUACCCUCGAGGAAGGACAUCACCCACAGAAGAAGCACCGGCUAACUCCGUGCCAGCAGCCGCGGUAAUACGGAGGGUGCGGGCGUUAAUCGGAAUUACGGGGCGUAAAGCGCGCGUAGGCGGUCUGAUAAGCCGGUUGUGAAAGCCCCGGGCUCAACCUGGGAACGGCAUCCGGAACUGUCAGGCUAGAGUGCAGGAGAGGAAGGUAGAAUUCCCGGUGUAGCGGUGAAAUGCGUAGAGAUCGGGAGGAAUACCAGUGGCGAAGGCGGCCUUCUGGACUGACACUGACGCUGAGGUGCGAAAGCGUGGGUAGCAAACAGGAUUAGAUACCCCUGUAGUC
Molecule: ribosomal RNA, 465 nt
Filed under: Vreelandella stevensii
Lineage: Bacteria; Pseudomonadati; Pseudomonadota; Gammaproteobacteria; Oceanospirillales; Halomonadaceae
Description: partial 16S ribosomal RNA
Rfam family: Bacterial small subunit ribosomal RNA
Source: RNAcentral